AGGCAACGAAGGAAGGUGCCCAGCAUAUCCAGUUAUCUGCUGUUCAUCCGCUGAUGAAGUGACUGCUUUAGUAGCAGAGCUGCCAAGUGUGUUCCUUCAGUUAAGGGAAAUUUGUUCUUCUUGCUUGCUCUUAGGAGGAGAGAAGAAUCUAUGCAUUGGUAAUAAAUGCUGUUAGAGCACAAUCACAGCUUUGCUUAAUGAAAGUAAAGCUGUUUGGCUACUUUGUGCCUGUACUGUAAUAACCAUAUAACUCUUGGUGGUGGGGAGUGCCAGCUUCAAUCAUGUGCAUGUGUGGAGGAAGCAAUGGAUGCCUGCAAUGAUACUACACUGGCCUGAAAUAAAGAAAUUUUAAUAAUUCAUAAGAUAUGCUAAGUUUUCAUUAUUAACACAACUUUGAAAUUUGAAUUCAAUCUCUUUGAAGGUAAGUCACUGCUAAUAGGACUUCUUCUAAGAUAAGAUUUAGCAAAGUCAACCCCCCCUUCAAUACUGAAGCAGAAAGAACAAUCAAAAUAAGGAAAACUUAGUGCAGACAACUGCCCCUCUGACUUGAAUGAAUCAAUAUCUAAGAUCUUCUCUUUUUUGUGUUUUAAGAAUACUUUUUGUACUAAUGUCUAGGACUUGACACUUUCUCAGACAAGCAUAAUUUGAUGUUUUGAAUUAAUUCAAUGUUGGUUCUUGCUUUCCCAUGGCAGGUGAUUCUGUAUUUGUCUGUGUAAUCAGCACAUCUUUGCCUGUAUGCCAGAGCAUCUGAUAAGCAGUUGGUAAAAUAUUGAGAACUAAUUUUAUAUAUAGGGUCUGUCCUGCCAAAAGUAGUUACUAUGCAAAUAAAUUUCUUUUCAGGGCAGAUGGAAGGAGGAAGUGAAAGAUUAUAGAGCAGCACUGUCCUGAAAUCAGCAAAGAGUGAGGCAAGCCAGCACUUCUUGGUAACAGCGCAUGUUCUGUAAAAAUUUUAACCAGAACUGUAUGGAACAUGAAUAUAAUAAUGGCAUACUUGAAGCAGGCAACUGGAUUUGGUCAAAUUAAGCUUGUAUGCAGGGCUCCAAGGUUUUUUUUCAGAACCAAUAGGUACCAUUCUGAAGGACUGGGUUCUGAGAAGCCUUUAAGAAGAAGCUGAAAUUCUAAGGAAGUUGAGAGGGCUCACGCUUUCAAAAGUCCAUUGGAAGAUUCUUGCGGAGAUCUUAUUAGUUUUGUUUCCUCUAAAAGGGAUACUUGUUUUAAAAUUAAGGGGGCUUUUUAGAAGCUUCCGAGUGGUUUGUUCUUAAGUUUUGUUUUUAAUCCUCCUACCCACCUUCCAUUCUGCACUGCAGCACCCUUCUCUAUAUGCAUGGUUUCAUUUUGAAUAAUCUGAUUUGGAGAUACCACAACUCUCAAAAAGCUAAGCUAUUUCUCUCUUUUUCUGCUAUUAAGUAAGAUCGCAUCCAAUACUUACAAAAAUGUAACAGCACAUUGUCUGCUAAGUUGUUAAGCAGUUAACUUGACUUGUUUGAAACAGGGUCCAAGUUUGCCCUAAGGUGUCAGACCACGCCUGACAAGUUAUAAAUUUGGUGAUUCAUAAAGUGUGGCUAGCUGGGGGUUGGGAACGUCUUAGGAAGCUAAUCCUGUUUGAUAAACAGUGGUGUAGUCAUCAAGUAACAAAGUAAAAAUAUGCUCACUGUGAAAGGUAAAUGUUUAAUAGAAACCUUGUGUCCAUUUACAUAAAUGCCAGUGUUUUGAAAGGUAUUCUCUUCUGCUGUUACCCAACAGGAAGAAAAAUGCAUGGUUCCGUAUUUGGGCACUCCUAACUCAAUUCUCCUAUGCUGUUCUCAACUUGAAAUGUUCAAUACGUAAUUUAAUAUAUACAUUUUAGAUUCUUUUAUAUGCAUUUGGAGUUUUAACAUAGUUUUCAAGCAGCCUGCACUGCCCAAGGUUGUAGAGAGAUUUAGAGGAGGGAAGGGCUGGUUUUCAGUUUGUUCUUAAUCAGGGAUUUAAUGUAUUUCUUAAUGAAAUAGUGUUUAAUGCAUUAAAAUAUGACCAAAGGCUCCCUUGCAAGCCUUUACUUGUUCACGAAGAUAAGGGCUUAGUUAUAUGAAGGUUUCAUGAUCAGUCUUGAUUGAUGCUUUUUUAAGUUUUGUACAAAUUGUAUUUCAAGUAGCAAUUUAAAUAUUUCUGUACACUCUUAGAACAUCACCACAUGCAGCAAAACCACAAGACCCUGAGGUACUCAAAUAUCUCUGAAUAAAACAAGCCACAGGGUCAUGUAUAAACAGAUACAAAUAUGGGGGAGCAGGGGGUGGGAAUUGCAAGGUGCUGGAAGUCUGUGUACUGUAUAAAUAUCUGAGAUACCAAAUAGAUAAGACUGUAGCAACAGUGAAAGAAAACAUAAGCAAAGCCAGUUACUUCAGUCGAUAAAUGAAGGUUAAGGCAUGUAGUUCCUCGUUGCUCUUGGACAAAACCCAGCAAUAGCGACAGACGGCUGUUCCACAACUGCCUUUGCAGCAUGUGGAGCUGCCUGUUCCUUUGACUCGUGGUAGCAGUGUGCUAAUCCAGAAAAUGGAGGCUUGCUUUCUGUGGUCCUGGGAUGAAAAGCAUUAUUGCAAAUAACCUGAAGUUUUAAAUAAGCUGCAUUAGGCUUGGUGUGAAAAUUGUAACUUAAAUGGGGGGGGGGGGGGGGUUGGUUGAUUGAUUUUUCAGAUCUUUUAUCUAUGUUGCUCUAGUGUACUGUGUUUGAGUCCCAAUUGCAAACCACCAA
This 2728-nucleotide long non-coding RNA is filed under the name Amazona collaria (yellow-billed parrot). RNAcentral describes it as "lncRNA (ENSACOG00000001863.1)". Lineage: Eukaryota; Metazoa; Chordata; Aves; Psittaciformes; Psittacidae. The record is from RNAcentral.